GCUGAGGAGGGCAGACAUGCUCAGAAGUGACCUGAGAAGGGGAUUUUUGUUUUUCUAAACACUAGAAGAAAGGCAUGAGAUUGGAGUAGGGUGCAGGAGUGGGAGGUGUGCAGUAUUUUUCUGGAAAGCCACUCAGGAGCCCGGGGAGGCUGACCUAGAAGGGUAAGAGUCCAUGGAUGGUUACACCCUCCCCUGGGAGCCAGAGACGUGGCAGAAGAAAACCAAGCACUUUGUCCUUGGACUCCUUCAAGCUUGGAGGGGAGACUGGUUGCUGGGAUUAGGACAUUCCUGGUGUUCCAAAGAUUGCAAACUCAGAUGCUUCAGGGUUGUGCAGCCAAUUGGAUGCUUCACCCUGGGAAGAACUUGGCCUGCAGGCUCAGAUUUGUGACCAGUGAGGAUGCAGAGACUGUCACCUCCUCAGGGGCGAUCUGCUAAUUCUAGAAUGGCGCUGUCCCACGGAAAUAUAUCACAAGCCAAGAAUGCAAUUUAAAAUUUUCUAUUAGCCAUAUUAAAAACAGUAAAAAGAAACAGUUGAAAUUAAUUUUAAUAUGAUAUUUAACUCAAUAUAUCCAAAAGAUUGCCAUUUCAAGAUGUAAUCAAUAUAAACAUUUAUUAAUGA
RNAcentral lists this long non-coding RNA (619 nucleotides) under Homo sapiens (human). RNAcentral describes it as "HSALNT0330808". The record is from RNAcentral. Lineage: Eukaryota; Metazoa; Chordata; Mammalia; Primates; Hominidae.